UGAAAUUGAACUCGCUGUGAAGAUGCAGUGUACCCGCGGCAAGACGGAAAGACCCCGUGAACCUUUACUAUAGCUUGACACUGAACAUUGAGCCUUGAUGUGUAGGAUAGGUGGGAGGCUUUGAAGUGUGGACGCCAGUCUGCAUGGAGCCGGCCUUGAAAUACCACCCUUUAAUGUUUGAUGUUCUAACGUGGACCCGUGAUCCGGGUUGCGGACAGUGUCUGGUGGGUAGUUUGACUGGGGCGGUCUCCUCCUAAAGAGUAACGGAGGAGCACGAAGGUUGGCUAAUCCUGGUCGGACAUCAGGAGGUUAGUGCAAUGGCAUAAGCCAGCUUGACUGCGAGCGUGACGGCGCGAGCAGGUGCGAAAGCAGGUCAUAGUGAUCCGGUGGUUCUGAAUGGAAGGGCCAUCGCUCAACGGAUAAAAGGUACUCCGGGGAUAACAGGCUGAUACCGCCCAAGAGUUCAUAUCGACGGCGGUGUUUGGCACCUCGAUGUCGGCUCAUCACAUCCUGGGGCUGAAGUAGGUCCCAAGGGUAUGGCUGUUCGCCAUUUAAAGUGGUACGCGAGCUGGGUUUAGAACGUCGUGAGACAGUUCGGUCCCUAUCUGCCGUGGGCGCUGGAGAACUGAGGGGGGCUGCUCCUAGUACGAGAGGACCGGAGUGGACGCAUCACUGGUGUUCGGGUUGUCAUGCCAAUGGCACUGCCCGGUAGCUAAAUGCGGAAGAGAUAAGUGCUGAAAGCAUCUAAGCACGAAACUUGCCCCGA
This 766-nucleotide ribosomal RNA is filed under the name Salmonella enterica. RNAcentral describes it as "partial 23S ribosomal RNA". It matches the Rfam family "Bacterial large subunit ribosomal RNA", at positions 2037 to 2802 of the family's 2925-position model. The record is from RNAcentral. Lineage: Bacteria; Pseudomonadati; Pseudomonadota; Gammaproteobacteria; Enterobacterales; Enterobacteriaceae.